UUAAGUUAUUAAGGGCGCACGGUGGAUGCCUUGGCACUAGAAGCCGAUGAAGGACGUUACUAACGACGAUAUGCUUUGGGGAGCUGUAAGUAAGCUUUGAUCCAGAGAUUUCCGAAUGGGGAAACCCAGCAUGAGUUAUGUCAUGUUAUCGAUAUGUGAAUACAUAGCAUAUCAGAAGGCACACCCGGAGAACUGAAACAUCUUAGUACCCGGAGGAAGAGAAAGAAAAUUCGAUUCCCUUAGUAGCGGCGAGCGAAACGGGAAGAGCCCAAACCAAAAAGCUUGCUUGUUGGGGUUGUAGGACACUCUAUACGGAGUUACAAAGGACGACAUUAGACGAAUCAUCUGGAAAGAUGAAUCAAAGAAGGUAAUAAUCCUGUAGUCGAAAAUGUUGUCUCUCUUGAGUGGAUCCUGAGUACGACGGAGCACGUGAAAUUCCGUCGGAAUCUGGGAGGACCAUCUCCUAAGGCUAAAUACUCUCUAGUGACCGAUAGUGAACCAGUACCGUGAGGGAAAGGUGAAAAGCACCCCGGAAGGGGAGUGAAAUAGAACCUGAAACCGUGUGCUUACAAGUAGUCAGAGCCCGUUAAUGGGUGAUGGCGUGCCUUUUGUAGAAUGAACCGGCGAGUUACGAUUUGAUGCAAGGUUAAGCAGUAAAUGUGGAGCCGUAGCGAAAGCGAGUCUGAAUAGGGCGUUUAGUAUUUGGUCGUAGACCCGAAACCAGGUGAUCUACCCUUGGUCAGGUUGAAGUUCAGGUAACACUGAAUGGAGGACCGAACCGACUUACGUUGAAAAGUGAGCGGAUGAACUGAGGGUAGCGGAGAAAUUCCAAUCGAACCUGGAGAUAGCUGGUUCUCUCCGAAAUAGCUUUAGGGCUAGCCUCAAGUGAUGAUUAUUGGAGGUAGAGCACUGUUUGGACGAGGGGCCCCUCUCGGGUUACCGAAUUCAGACAAACUCCGAAUGCCAAUUAAUUUAACUUGGGAGUCAGAACAUGGGUGAUAAGGUCCGUGUUCGAAAGGGAAACAGCCCAGACCACCAGCUAAGGUCCCAAAAUAUAUGUUAAGUGGAAAAGGAUGUGGCGUUGCCCAGACAACUAGGAUGUUGGCUUAGAAGCAGCCAUCAUUUAAAGAGUGCGUAAUAGCUCACUAGUCGAGUGACACUGCGCCGAAAAUGUACCGGGGCUAAACAUAUUACCGAAGCUGUGGAUUGUCCUUUGGACAAUGGUAGGAGAGCGUUCUAAGGGCGUUGAAGCAUGAUCGUAAGGACAUGUGGAGCGCUUAGAAGUGAGAAUGCCGGUGUGAGUAGCGAAAGACGGGUGAGAAUCCCGUCCACCGAUUGACUAAGGUUUCCAGAGGAAGGCUCGUCCGCUCUGGGUUAGUCGGGUCCUAAGCUGAUGCCGACAGGCGUAGGCGAUGGAUAACAGGUUGAUAUUCCUGUACCACCUAUAAUCGUUUUAAUCGAUGGGGGGACGCAGUAGGAUAGGCGAAGCGUGCGAUUGGAUUGCACGUCUAAGCAGUAAGGCUGAGUAUUAGGCAAAUCCGGUACUCGUUAAGGCUGAGCUGUGAUGGGGAGAAGACAUUGAGUCUUCGAGUCGUUGAUUUCACACUGCCGAGAAAAGCCUCUAGAUAGAAAAUAGGUGCCCGUACCGCAAACCGACACAGGUAGUCAAGAUGAGAAUUCUAAGGUGAGCGAGCGAACUCUCGUUAAGGAACUCGGCAAAAUGACCCCGUAACUUCGGGAGAAGGGGUGCUCUUUAGGGUUAACGCCCAGAAGAGCCGCAGUGAAUAGGCCCAAGCGACUGUUUAUCAAAAACACAGGUCUCUGCUAAACCGUAAGGUGAUGUAUAGGGGCUGACGCCUGCCCGGUGCUGGAAGGUUAAGAGGAGUGGUUAGCUUCUGCGAAGCUACGAAUCGAAGCCCCAGUAAACGGCGGCCGUAACUAUAACGGUCCUAAGGUAGCGAAAUUCCUUGUCGGGUAAGUUCCGACCCGCACGAAAGGCGUAACGAUUUGGGCACUGUCUCAACGAGAGACUCGGUGAAAUCAUAGUACCUGUGAAGAUGCAGGUUACCCGCGACAGGACGGAAAGACCCCGUGGAGCUUUACUGUAGCCUGAUAUUGAAAUUCGGCACAGCUUGUACAGGAUAGGUAGGAGCCUUUGAAACGUGAGCGCUAGCUUACGUGGAGGCGCUGGUGGGAUACUACCCUAGCUGUGUUGGCUUUCUAACCCGCACCACUUAUCGUGGUGGGAGACAGUGUCAAGCGGGCAGUUUGACUGGGGCGGUCGCCUCCUAAAAGGUAACGGAGGCGCUCAAAGGUUCCCUCAGAAUGGUUGGAAAUCAUUCAUAGAGUGUAAAGGCAUAAGGGAGCUUGACUGCGAGACCUACAAGUCGAGCAGGGUCGAAAGACGGACUUAGUGAUCCGGUGGUUCCGCAUGGAAGGGCCAUCGCUCAACGGAUAAAAGCUACCCCGGGGAUAACAGGCUUAUCUCCCCCAAGAGUUCACAUCGACGGGGAGGUUUGGCACCUCGAUGUCGGCUCAUCGCAUCCUGGGGCUGUAGUCGGUCCCAAGGGUUGGGCUGUUCGCCCAUUAAAGCGGUACGCGAGCUGGGUUCAGAACGUCGUGAGACAGUUCGGUCCCUAUCCGUCGUGGGCGUAGGAAAUUUGAGAGGAGCUGUCCUUAGUACGAGAGGACCGGGAUGGACAUACCUCUGGUGUACCAGUUGUCGUGCCAACGGCAUAGCUGGGUAGCUAUGUGUGGACGGGAUAAGUGCUGAAAGCAUCUAAGCAUGAAGCCCCCCUCAAGAUGAGAUUUCCCAACUUCGGUUAUAAGAUCCCUCAAAGAUGAUGAGGUUAAUAGGUUCGAGGUGGAAGCAUGGUGACAUGUGGAGCUGACGAAUACUAAUCGAUCGAAGACUUAAUCAA
RNAcentral lists this ribosomal RNA (2921 nucleotides) under Staphylococcus aureus M0699. RNAcentral describes it as "bacterial LSU rRNA". It matches the Rfam family "Bacterial large subunit ribosomal RNA". The record is from RNAcentral. Lineage: Bacteria; Bacillati; Bacillota; Bacilli; Caryophanales; Staphylococcaceae.